GACGAACGCUGGCGGCGUGCUUAACACAUGCAAGUCGAACGGUGAAGCGCCUUCCUUUUUGGUGGGUGUGGAUGAGUGGCGAACGGGUGAGUAACACGUGAGUAACCUGCCCCCUUCUUCUGGAUAACCGCAUGAAAGUGUGGCUAAUACGGGAUAUUCUGGGUCUGUCGCAUGAUGGGUCUGGGAAAGAUAUUGUUUCGGUGGGGGAUGGGCUCGCGGCCUAUCAGCUUGUUGGUGGGGUGAUGGCCUACCAAGGCGGUGACGGGUAGCCGGCCUGAGAGGGUGGACGGACACAGUGGGACUGAGACACGGCCCAGACUCCUACGGGAGGCAGCAGUGGGGAAUAUUGCACAAUGGGCGCAAGCCUGAUGCAGCGACGCCGCGUGAGGGAUGGAGGCCUUCGGGUUGUGAACCUCUUUCGCCAGUGAAGCAGGCCUGCCUCGUUUGUGGGUGGGUUGACGGUAGCUGGAGAAGAAGCGCCGGCUAACUACGUG
Molecule: ribosomal RNA, 494 nt
Filed under: uncultured bacterium
Lineage: Bacteria
Description: partial 16S ribosomal RNA
Rfam family: Bacterial small subunit ribosomal RNA
Source: RNAcentral